CCCUUAGAUGUUCUGGGCCGCACGCGCGCUACACUGAUGCAUUCAACGAGUUUCUUCCUGGUCCGAGAGGAAUGGGUAACCUUUUGAAAGUGCAUCGUGAUAGGGAUAGACUAUUGCAAUUAUUGGUCUUCAACGAGGAAUUCCUAGUAGACGUAGUUCAUCAGACUGCAUCGAUUACGUCCCUGCCCUUUGUACACACCGCCCGUCGCUCCUACCGAUUGAAUGUGCCAGUGAAAAGUUAGGAUUGGGCGUGGGAGACGGCAACGUAUUCCACAUCCGAGAAAAUCUUUAAACUUUCCCAUUUAGAGGAAGGAGAAGUCGUAACA
This 326-nucleotide ribosomal RNA is filed under the name uncultured eukaryote. Its description in RNAcentral is "partial 18S ribosomal RNA". It matches the Rfam family "Eukaryotic small subunit ribosomal RNA", at positions 1470 to 1796 of the family's 1831-position model. The record is from RNAcentral.